CUGUUGUUUUCCUUCUACACCACUCGAAACUACUACAACAGGAGUGCGCGAUUAUUUAGUUAGUUUGUUGACUUUUCGAGUGCCUGCCAGCUUUUGCACACUUGCAGCCCAACUUUAAUCAAACAUUGAAAAUGUCCACGUUUAAAUAAUAAUACUGUAACCGCAAAGCCAGCUUUACAUUUAUUAUUCAAUUUACAUCCGUUUUUGAUGGAAGGUGAACGAGAGAGCACUUACAGACGUUUACACAAGCAACAUAAUCUGUACAGUUAUACAGUACUCUCUUCUGUCUCAUUCCUAAGCCUGAAAGCGAUUGACGGCAGCGCUGUUAACAGAGAGAGAGCAGCGAACUGUUGUUGCUAACAGCGGACACGAUCGUUCACGCUCUCAUGACCGCUCUCUCUCUCUCUCUCUCUCGGGCUCUUUGCCUUGCGCUGCCGCUAUCCAGCAGCACUCUCGCUCUGACAUGACUCUCGUUUCCACCCCCGAAUUGUAACGGCAGCAACUUGCAGUACAUUCAAUACAGUUACCCACGUCAACCUCGACAGCAUUUAGCACGAUAAUCAUAUAUUCGAGAACACUCACAGACACACUCGUCUUCUAAUUUAGUUUGGUCCGCAGCUUGUGUAGAGAUUCCGUGAUAACUUAAGCCUCUUACAGUUGUAUGAUGAGGCGCAUUCAAAACUUCAUAUCGCUCAUUGAAAGUUUAGAGGAGCACUGAGCAGAACCGAAUGCAAUUAGAGUUACAACUUGAGAAGUUCAACAGAAAUUUGUGUGUGCGGGUACGACUUGAGUCUCCUUUCUGGGGCUUUGGCAAAAGAUUUCAUUAAUAUUAAAAGAGAGAGGGAAUACU
This 850-nucleotide long non-coding RNA is filed under the name Drosophila guanche. Lineage: Eukaryota; Metazoa; Arthropoda; Insecta; Diptera; Drosophilidae. The record is from RNAcentral.